UUGACCUCGGAUCAGGUAGGAAUACCCGCUGAACUUAAGCAUAUCAAGGAGGCGGAGGAA
RNAcentral lists this ribosomal RNA (60 nucleotides) under Fusarium asiaticum. RNAcentral describes it as "partial 28S ribosomal RNA". Lineage: Eukaryota; Fungi; Ascomycota; Sordariomycetes; Hypocreales; Nectriaceae. The record is from RNAcentral.